CACCUUAGUUAGUUGGUGGGGUAAAGGCUUACCAAGACUAUGAUGUGUAGCCGGGCUGAGAGGUUGAACGGCCACAUUGGGACUGAGACACGGCCCAAACUCCUACGGGAGGCAGCAGUAGGGAAUUUUCGGCAAUGGAGGAAACUCUGACCGAGCAACGCCGCGUGAACGAUGAAGUAUUUCGGUACGUAAAGUUCUUUUAUUAGGGAAGAAUAAAUGAUGGAAAAAUCAUUCUGACGGUACCUAAUGAAUAAGCCCCGGCUAACUAUGUGCCAGCAGCCGCGGUAAUACAUAGGGGGCAAGCGUUAUCCGGAAUUAUUGGGCGUAAAGGGUGCGUAGGCGGUUAAAUAAGUUUAUGGUCUAAGUGCAAUGCUUAACAUUGUGAUGCUAUAAAAACUGUUUAGCUAGAGUAAGAUAGAGGCAAGUGGAAUUCCAUGUGUAGUGGUAAAAUGCGUAAAUAUAUGGAGGAACACCAGUAGCGAAGGCGGCUUGCUGGGUCUUUACUGACGCUGAGGCACGAAAGCGUGGGGAGCAAACAGGAUUAGAUACCCUGGUAGUCCACGCCGUAAACGAUGAGUACUAAAUGUUGGGUAAAACCAGUGUUGAAGUUAACACAUUAAGUACUCCGCCUGAGUAGUACGUACGCAAGUAUGAAACUUAAAGGAAUUGACGGGACUCCGCACAAGCGGUGGAUCAUGUUGUUUAAUUCGAAGGUACCCGAAAAACCUCACCAGGUCUUGACAUGCUUCUGCAAAGCUGUAGAAACACAGUGGAGGUUAUCAGUUGCACAGGUGGUGCAUGGUUGUCGUCAGCUCGUGUCGUGAGAUGUUGGGUUAAGUCCCGCAACGAGCGCAACCCUUAUUGUUAGUUGCCAGCACGUAAUGGUGGGGACUUUAGCAAGACUGCCAGUGAUAAAUUGGAGGAAGGUGGGGACGACGUCAAAUCAUCAUGCCCCUUAUGACCUGGGCUACAAACGUGAUACAAUGGCUGUUACAAAGGGUAGCUGAAACGCAAGUUUUUGGCGAA
Molecule: ribosomal RNA, 1026 nt
Filed under: 'Neoaliturus fenestratus' phytoplasma
Lineage: Bacteria; Bacillati; Mycoplasmatota; Mollicutes; Acholeplasmatales; Acholeplasmataceae
Description: bacterial SSU rRNA
Rfam family: Bacterial small subunit ribosomal RNA
Source: RNAcentral